Molecule: long non-coding RNA, 2747 nt
Filed under: Sus scrofa (pig)
Lineage: Eukaryota; Metazoa; Chordata; Mammalia; Artiodactyla; Suidae
Description: lncRNA (ENSSSCG00030050858.1)
Source: RNAcentral
UACUUUUUUUUUUUUUUUUUUUUUUUUUGCCACCAGAAGGUAUAUAGAGUUCCUGGGCCAGGGAUUGAAUCCAAGUCACAGUUGUGACCUGCACUACAGCUCUGUGGCAUAGGUCAGAUCCUACCCUUGACCUGGGAACUCUAUAUGCCAUGGGUGACCAGGAGAAAAAGGAAAGAAAAAGAAAAAAAGAAAGAAAGCUUAAUUCUAAAUAAUUUUCAUAUAACCUAAAUUCCUACAUACCCAGCUAAGAUGUAAGACAACCACAGACAUUUAUCUUAUUAGUAGUAUUUUUCCUUAGUUUCUAACAACAGUACGGGAAGUCCAGACCCCUUUAAUUCCUCACAGAUAGCCUGGGGACCCCUUAGGGGUGUCUCCCCUGCCUUUUCCCUGACCAGCUUCCCUGACUGCUCCAUGGGUUGGACCAUUCAUUCCCUUUGCUCCUGUGUCAACUUAUUAUAUUGAGGUGUUUGCUGCAGCUUCCAAUGUCCAAAGUGACUGUUAAUCUGCUGGUGUUCUCUGAAAAGGAUAGAUACUUCUGGGGAGGUCCACUUCACAUCCUCUGAGGCUGCUGCACCCACCACAGCUGCAGGCCCUGGCAUUGAAUGUUGCAGAAGCUGUGGGUCCAAAUGCUGCUGGCACCCUGCCAUCUCAAUGGCCCACUAGCUUCUCUAACUACUCUCAGUGGAGUAUUACUAAGGGGAAACUAAGAGAUUGGUGCCACAUCUGACAGACAUUUCCCUUUCUUCUUGGUAAUUUCUGCUGUCCUUGAAUCACAUUUAUGAUCCUCAACCAUCACUUGUCUUACCUCUUCAGUGGUAACUUGGCCCCUGACAGAAUAGUGCAUUUACUGACCUGAUUUACUGGUCCUGGACUCUCCUCUUCUGGCUUGCCUGCAUCUGAGAAUGAAGCAAACCUAGGCUCAAGCUGUAAUUCUUGAUAGAGUUAUAUAAAGUUGGCCUAAUUUAACAUGUAACUAUAUAUACGGAUACUAGUUUACCUGAAUUAAAACAGAGUAAGCAUAAGCUGAUAGUAUAAGAUUUGCAACUUUACAUGACAUGGUUCUAAAGCAUUCUAGAAUAUCACCUGUUGCUUAUGCUGUACAAAUAAUGCUUGGAAAAUCAAAAAUAGCCUCUCUCGUCACACCCAACCUCCUCCUGUCAUUUUUAUUUAUAUAUAAUGAGGGAUCUUUUCAGAACCACAGGCUUUACUUCCAUGUAACAAAACCAUUUUGUUUUUAGGCAAUUAUUCUGCUCACCCAGAGGAAAUACAGUGGUAUCUGCAAACAUUAUUUCUAUCUCCCUGCUACCGAAUAUUAGAUCCUUGGGAUCAGCCUAUAGAAAACAUGUAUUCAAGACAGGAAAUUUUACUGCAUAUGAGAUUUAAUGAGAAAGAUUUAUCAGGCAUGUGAUAUUCAGGAAUUUCCACUUCAUUGUUACAAGGACUAUAUAAUUUAAAAUAUUGCUUAUGCCUGGUAUUUUAUUCAAACCAAAUGCUGAGAACAGUUUAGAGAAAAAUCUCAGUCUGAAACCAAGUCAGCAAAAUUAUUAUUAUUAUUAUUAUUUUUUUUUUUGCCUUGAGAAUAAGUCAUUUCCCAAACAUACUAGGACACACUUUGGAAAGAGUGAGGGCCAGAGUUCUUUUAAGCCUCAGGAAAACUUUGGGUAAAAGAGAUGGAAGCCUGGGUCCAAAGUGACAAAGGAAGCACAAAUGUGUUAAUGAUGCAGAAGUCACCGCCUGGGCUUUGAAUGCUGCUGACACAUCAAAGGGCCCUGUUUGCCACAAAGAAGAAGAUCAUUUCUGGAGAGGGACAAAACCUUUGGGAGAAUGCUGCUGAAGCCCUUGAUUCACUGGUUAAUUAUGCAGACCAGCCCUCUGUUCUGCUGCCCCAGAGGUCAUGAAUUUGAACAUGCUUCAUGCCACCUUCAGAACAAACAGGCAAAACAACCCCAAACCAGGCUGUCUUUGGGGACUUUGUCAAGAAAGCCACUUUUUGGGCAACAUCAGCAUAUGCAAUACAAAUAUUCUCAUCAAAUAUUCACUUAUUUAAGCCAUUAAAUGAGAGGAAAAUUCUUCAGUAAAUAAGUACUUAAGAUAGCUGUCUUAUUUCACCAGUAGGCUAUAGAAUACCCAAAGCCUACAUUAAACUGUAUGUUAAGAUAGUUGAGAGAAAACUAGAAUUAGUUUUCUAUGUUUUAAAUAAUUCUAUGAUAGAACACAAGAAGACUAUUAACCAAAAUGUUAUGUCUUUGCUUGGAGGAAAUUUGUUAUUUUUAAUUCUGCUUUUUUAUACAUUCCAAAUUUAUUACAGUAAACAUAGACUACUUAUCUAGUGAAAGAAUAUAAAUAUUUUUCUUAUUGUGACAGAACACCCUAUAUGCCAGCAACAUUUUCUAGAAAAAUACUCAACUUCUCAAAAUGACUCAUUCUCUGAGGUUAGGUAGCCAAGGCUUGAUUGUAAUUUAGCAUGAAAUAGAAAGAGAAACUCAAGAGACUACACAGGUAAGAGAGUUUCACUGAGCUCAUUUAAUUUUCCAUUAGUAAUGGAAUUUUUAAUCACCUAAGUCACCGGUUUGCAUGUCUGUUUUCACUAAGGAUACAGGCAGGUGGGAGAUGUGCAGUUAUUUUAUAAUUAUUUAUUUGUAUGUGUUGAGAAAAAGCCCUCAGAAAUUUUAGCAGAAACUGGUUGGUCAGACUUAAGAGGAAUUAUCAAUAUCCUUCUUCAUUAAAAAAAAAAAAAAAAAAAAAAG